Molecule: transfer RNA, 77 nt
Filed under: Lactobacillus delbrueckii
Lineage: Bacteria; Bacillati; Bacillota; Bacilli; Lactobacillales; Lactobacillaceae
Description: tRNA-Pro
Rfam family: tRNA
About the family: Transfer RNA (tRNA) molecules are approximately 80 nucleotides in length.
Source: RNAcentral
UCGGGAAGUGGCUUAGUUUGGUAGAGCACCUGGUUUGGGACCAGGGGGUCGCAAGUUCAAAUCCUGUCUUCCCGAUC